This 311-nucleotide ribosomal RNA is filed under the name Escherichia coli. RNAcentral's name for it is "bacterial SSU rRNA". It matches the Rfam family "Bacterial small subunit ribosomal RNA", at positions 1068 to 1379 of the family's 1533-position model. The record is from RNAcentral. Lineage: Bacteria; Pseudomonadati; Pseudomonadota; Gammaproteobacteria; Enterobacterales; Enterobacteriaceae.
UGAAAUGUUGGGUUAAGUCCCGCAACGAGCGCAACCCUUAUCCUUUGUUGCCAGCGGUCCGGCCGGGAACUCAAAGGAGACUGCCAGUGAUAAACUGGAGGAAGGUGGGGAUGACGUCAAGUCAUCAUGGCCCUUACGACCAGGGCUACACACGUGCUACAAUGGCGCAUACAAAGAGAAGCGACCUCGCGAGAGCAAGCGGACCUCAUAAAGUGCGUCGUAGUCCGGAUUGGAGUCUGCAACUCGACUCCAUGAAGUCGGAAUCGCUAGUAAUCGUGGAUCAGAAUGCCACGGUGAAUACGUUCCCGGGC